RNAcentral lists this long non-coding RNA (237 nucleotides) under Elaeis guineensis (African oil palm). RNAcentral describes it as "long non-coding RNA (EGUI_LNC044524)". The record is from RNAcentral. Lineage: Eukaryota; Viridiplantae; Streptophyta; Magnoliopsida; Arecales; Arecaceae.
CCUAAAUACUUCAGACGACCAUCCCCCAUAAGCAUCGGCAACACACUAACCUACAUAAGGUAUGACUUGAGCUCUUUAGGCCACCAUACUGAAGCCUUAGUAGCCCAUAAGGUAUGACUUGAGCUCUUUAGGCCACCAUACUGAAGCUACAGUAGCCCACUGAUGCAAACAAGCAGUCAAGUCUGAGCAUAACCUAGUUUUUGCAUCGAAUAACUAGAUGCUUACUCAACCUUCUCA